UAAUAAAUGCUACAAAGCUUUCACAGGCCUUAGAAUUAUCAGAGAGAGAGACCAAAUUAUUUUUGGUAGUACUGCAGUAUUGGAUAUUGAGGAGCUAUAAUAUUUAAUUCACUGAGAAUUGACAAACUUUUGUUUGACAGGAUGUUUAAUUAUCAAAAACAAUCCAUUUGCUAAAUUACUGAGUGUGUGUGUGCAUGCACAUGCUGUAAAAAUAAAAGUGUAUUGUGCUUUGUGAUUUUUGUCAGUUCUCCACCAUCAGACACUUGAUUUUGAAGGGCGGGAACACUGGCUGCUGUGUGUCAUCUCUGCAUUUGAAGAUGAAAAUCUUAUUCUAACAGAAGCAUGCUACAAAAAGGGAAAAAAAGAGAUGAGAGAGAAAGCAGAAAGGGGAAAAGGAACAAAGAAAACAAAGACAAAUGGACAAAGAGAAUGAUCUGAUCAGCCUUGAGAAGUCACGCUGAGCCAACAUUAUUAGCACUCUGCAAAAUCAAAAGAGUCAGGACCAUUCUCCACCAAAUGGUCCCUUUUCUCCCUCACCUUUCUGGAUGUGGACCCUUGAUUACAGCACAUUCUCCUAAUUAUAAGAUCUACUUUGAACAUACUGCUUUAUUCCUAGAAAGCCAAUGGCCAUUAAUGACGUUAUCGCUGAAAUCCAUGAUCACAGGUGGGCAUUUGCAGUUUUAACAUGAGCUGUCUGUUCAAAGAGAACAUGUUUAAUAUUAUUUAAUAAGAGUUAUACAUUUUUUGGAUCCAUAGGGGAAUUCAUCUCAUUUCCUACUGAUGAAAUGAAACUUCUGAAGCUCCAGAGGGUCUGAAUGGAAAAAUGGGCUGAGUUCUCCUACUCAGAAACCUCUAUGUUCUCCUCUCUGCACAGAUGCGGUAUUUAUUCCAUUCAGUCUAUAUUAAACCUAA
RNAcentral lists this long non-coding RNA (912 nucleotides) under Equus caballus (horse). Its description in RNAcentral is "lncRNA (ENSECAG00000052819.1)". Lineage: Eukaryota; Metazoa; Chordata; Mammalia; Perissodactyla; Equidae. The record is from RNAcentral.